GCGGCCUAUCAGCUUGUUGGUGAGGUAAUGGCUCACCAAGGCGACGACGGGUAGCCGGCCUGAGAGGGCGACCGGCCACACUGGGACUGAGACACGGCCCAGACUCCUACGGGAGGCAGCAGUGGGGAAUAUUGGGCAAUGGAGGAAACUCUGACCCAGCGACGCCGCGUGCGGGAUGAAGGCCUUCGGGUUGUAAACCGCUUUCAGCAGGGAAGAAGCGAAAGUGACGGUACCUGCAGAAGAAGCACCGGCUAACUAUGUGCCAGCAGCCGCGGUAAUACAUAGGGUGCAAGCGUUGUCCGGAAUUAUUGGGCGUAAAGAGCUCGUAGGUGGUUCGUCACGUCGGAUGUGAAACUCUGGGGCUUAACCCCAGACCUGCAUUCGAUACGGGCGAGCUUGAGUAUGGUAGGGGAGACUGGAAUUCCU
RNAcentral lists this ribosomal RNA (426 nucleotides) under uncultured Actinomycetes bacterium. RNAcentral's name for it is "bacterial SSU rRNA". It matches the Rfam family "Bacterial small subunit ribosomal RNA", at positions 233 to 671 of the family's 1533-position model. The record is from RNAcentral. Lineage: Bacteria; Bacillati; Actinomycetota; Actinomycetes.